RNAcentral lists this transfer RNA (76 nucleotides) under Candidatus Rokubacteria bacterium 13_1_20CM_4_68_9. RNAcentral describes it as "tRNA-Lys". It matches the Rfam family "tRNA". Rfam says of the family: Transfer RNA (tRNA) molecules are approximately 80 nucleotides in length. Their secondary structure includes four short double-helical elements and three loops (D, anti-codon, and T loops). Further hydrogen bonds mediate the characteristic L-shaped molecular structure. tRNAs have two regions of fundamental functional importance: the anti-codon, which is responsible for specific mRNA codon recognition, and the 3' end, to which the tRNAs corresponding amino acid is attached (by aminoacyl-tRNA synthetases). tRNAs cope with the degeneracy of the genetic code in two manners: having more than one tRNA (with a specific anti-codon) for a particular amino acid; and 'wobble' base-pairing, i.e. permitting non-standard base-pairing at the 3rd anti-codon position. The record is from RNAcentral. Lineage: Bacteria; Candidatus Rokuibacteriota. RNAcentral also lists the same sequence under 6 other names.
GGGCCGUUAGCUCAGUUGGUAGAGCAGCUGACUCUUAAUCAGCGGGUCCACGGUUCGAGUCCGUGACGGCCCACCA